Molecule: long non-coding RNA, 29992 nt
Filed under: Ananas comosus (pineapple)
Lineage: Eukaryota; Viridiplantae; Streptophyta; Magnoliopsida; Poales; Bromeliaceae
Description: long non-coding RNA (ACOM_LNC043527)
Source: RNAcentral
GGGUUGCGACCAUCGAUCUUCCGGUUUGUGCAAUCCUCUAACCUCCAAACCUACCGGGAGGUGGUGGAUUGCGCACUCAUAGUGGAGAGUGGCGCGGCAGACGUUCAGGAGCGACGAGAGGCGAUGGACAAAGGUAAGGCCAAGAGGCCUGCGGCAGAGGGUGCGAGCCAAACGCACUCUAGGAGGCCGCUGAAGCAUCCUAGGAGCCAGCAGUGAUGACGCGGCUCAGCGGCGCAUCGAGGAGGACCUGAUCGUCGCUGGCCCUCCCAGUGUGUGAUCUGCGGUGGCCCUCAUCACCCGCCGCAGUGUCCGUAGUGGGCGGGCAGGUACUAUGUGACGCCCCAGCUUCCUAGGGGGUCACCCAUCCUAGGACUACUCCCAUCCUUGCACGCUUAACUCUCUUAACCUCUUGGGCCUUGCCACCACCCAAAAUGCUUAAGCCGGGAUAAGAGUUUAGCCCUAUUAUAUCUCUUAUAUAGGACUAUCUGGGGUCUCACAAUCUCCCAUUCUUUAAGCCCUGACGUCCUCGUCAGGCUGAGAUACACAAAUACCAGGCGAUGUGAGACUCGUCUCGCUAGCCUAUCACCCAAACCCUGGCUCAGCCGAGACUCAUCUCACACUUCCGGCUAGUAAUUGGCUCUGAUACCAUCUGUGACGCCCCAGCUUCCCAGGGGGUCACCCAUCCUAGGACUACUCCCAUCCUAGCACGUUUAACUCUCUUAACCUCUUGGGCCUUGCCACCACCCAAAAUGCUUAAGCCGGGUUAAGAGUUUAGCCCUAUUAUAUCUCAUAUAUAGGACUAUCUGGGGUCUCACAUACUACCAGUGUGGCCAGGAGAGCUACAUCCGUACUGAGUGCCCGAGAGGUUCUUCACCGGCACCGUCGACUGUAUCGGCACCGGCUCUACCAGCCGUGAGCCACGGGACUCCGUCGACACAGUACCAGCCGGAGCGGCCACCCGUCCAGCGCCAGAGCGAGGGAUCUCGACAGGCCCUGUGUAAUAUACCGAGAAUUUGGAAAAUAAAUGUCGAACUUUAGUCAAAUUGACCAAAGUCUGAGGAAGGUACACUUCGGAAAGUCCGAAGGUGUUAAAAGGAUCAAAAGUGUGUUAUGGGAGAUUUUCGAGAGCUAAAGAAUCAAAGAUCUGCAAACUGCAGUUUUUGAGCUCUGGGGGACCAGUCCCUGGAGGGAGAGACCGGUCCCCGAACGCGUGAAAACUCAGCAGCUGAAAAAUCGGCUAAGUCCUGGAAAACUAGCUCUCGGGAACCGGUCACUGCGGGGAGAGACCGGUCCUCGAGAGACCGGUCUCCCUGGCAGAGACCGGUUGUCCCGUGCGAAAGCCCUGCUGCCCGCGGGGAGAGCUCUCUGGGAUCGGUCCCAAGUCGGGGAGACCGGUCCCCGAGCACGGAAAGUGCCCAGUUCGGGCAGUGUAUCAGGAUGAAAGUUGAGGGGUUUAACUGAAAUUUUGCAACCCAUAGAGUAUAGUAUGGGGGAAAAUGAGAUGUUUCUCUCAUUUCACUCCCUCUUCCACUCUCAUCUCUCUUUCUCUCUCUAGAAGACAAGAAGGAGAAGAAGAAGAGAAGGAAAAGAAGGAAAAAGAAGAGGAAGAAAGUGAAGAAAAAGGCAAGGAGAAGAAGAAGACCCCUCUUCUCCUUCUCUAUCUUGGAAAAGGAGCAAGCUUAGAGGUAAGCCUUGCCCCUUCUCAUGGUAAAUCCCAAACUAGGGUUUGGAUUAGGCUAAGAAUGGUUUUUAUAGAACCUUUAGAGUAUUUGAAGCUUUCCUUUUGCUUUUUUUGAGAUCAAGACCAUGGCAUGAGUGUAAUGGGUGAAGCUUGAAGGUGAGCUUGACCCCUCUCAUGAUAGAAUCCAAACUAGGGUUUAGAUUGAACUAAAGAUGGUUUUGAUGGACUUCCUAGAGUAGAACGAAGCUACUUUUGCUUCCCAAUGAGAUCAAACCCUAAGUUUUCUUAUGCUAUGGAGGGAGGGCACCCAAAUUGGGGCUUUUGCUCAUGGGGAUUUCUAAGUGAAAUUGACCCUCUAGAAACCUAAUUAGGACCAAACGAACGCGUUGGUGCGCUCGGUUUGAGUAUACGAAAAGCCAAUGUAAAGAUAUGAGCAAAAUAGCCUAAUAGGGUUUUGUUUUGCUGCAGGUAAAGAACGAAGGGUCUAAAAAUCCAAAGAAAAUCAUCGAAGCACCUUUGAAAAUCUACGAGGUGGGUGGUGCUUUUCAAACUCGUUGAACUUCCCUCUAUGCCUAAUGUGUCAUUCAAUUGAGCAUAUGUAUAUACAUUGUUGCAUGCAUUUUAGGGUAAAGCAAUGAUAAAAAUAUGAUGUUGCAUGAUUGUGAGUACAACUUGCGUAAUGUGAUGGUUAAGAACCUUAUGAAUGUCAAAACCCUAUAUAUGUAUGCAUGAGAGAAAAUGUGAGUACCAAAGUGAGGUGAAAGAACCGAGUGACACAAUUAGACAUAGAUCGAGUGGCAUUUGAUAAUGUAAAAUAAAGUGACACUAGAGGUAGUGUGAGGCAAAGAAUCAAUGUGAUGUAAAGAAUAAUGAUAAUGACUAAAGUGAAAACAAAGUGGGGCGUAAAGAACAUGAUUGCUAGAGUUAGCAAAAGUAAAGAAAGGUAAAGAACAAUGAUUGCUAGAGUAGCAACAUAAAGUGAUGUAAAGGACACUAGAGUUAGUGUAAAGUCAAGAUUGAACAUACAAUCCUUUGAGUUAAGGAUUCGAUUAUACUUGCUAUGAGUUUCGUGCUCGAGGGCGGUUGCUCCCCCUCGGGCGAUGCGCUCCGGAGUUUUUGCAUCACGGGUUAGAGUAAACCCGUGGACGGUUUUAGCGGGAGGAAGCUGAGGGGGCGCGAUGAUGGACUUAAUGUGAAGCAAGUUAAUGUGGCGAAACCCCCGGGUUAGCCCUGAGAUUAAAGAACAAAGAGCAAAGAACAAAGAACAAAGACAAGGUGUAAAGUGCAAAGAACAAAAGAACUUGCAUAAUCUGCAUAUGUUAAUGUUGAGCAUAUUUCCUGCUUAUUGUUCAGGCAUAUUAGCAUCAUAUUAUAGACUGAUUACUAUAUGCAGCUUUUCCUUUCUAUUAUGCCUGAGUUAGUCCUAGUGGGAAAGUCGGUGAUGUUGAGGCCGAACCCACUGGAAACUUUGUUGUAGUUCUCACCCCACUAUUCCACAAAGCCGGGACCGAGCAAGCUGGCGAGCAACCGCGGUAAAGGUAUCGCACCAUAGUCAGAGGCUAGCAGUGCUGGGUUUAUAUUUUGUAGUAGAGUACCCUAUGAUCAUCUUUUGUAUUUGAUGAUUAAUGACGUAAAGAAAAGAAUGUAAAGCUCUCUUUUGAGGUAAAUGUGAUGUAAGAAAGAGAUGAUGAAACGAUGUAAUGAAAUGUAAGGGAUUGUAAAUGUACAAGUUGGAUGUAAUGUAUAUGAUCUAAAUUGAAUCAUAGUACAAAAUAAAUGCUAAUUUUUUUAUAUUUCACUCAUGGCUAUUUCUUACCCUCGUGUAAGCCGUAUUUGUAUGUUUCCGCUAGUGCACUUUUUUGUUGAAAAUGUACAUGUGAUGAGCCUUGGGCGCACAGGGGAAAUUCUGUCCGUUCGGCAUCUAUUUGACGUGCUCGGGCCGGCCCAAAUUGGUAUCGGUCACGGGGCGUGACAGAUAUCGUGGUAUCAAAGCCAAGAGUGAAAGAAUAGGAAUGGACCUAGAGACCAUUAGGAUUGGAAGACCUUAAGGAUCUAGGAAAUGUGAGUGACAUGGAAUUAAAGUUAGCGAAAGCAUGUGAUUGGGUUAAGUUGGGACGUCUCUAAUGUGGUUAGAGGCUAAGUUUAAUUUUCGUUUAUCCUCUACUUCUAGUGUUGUGUCGGGCGGCCGACGACGUGACGCUUGAGGCAAGAAUGAAUGUGCAUGUUGCUUUCGCCAGAUUGGGUUGGUCAAGUAAUGUUGGUCAAGUAGCUAAUGCGAGUUGCUUCUUUUCAGUAAGCAAUGGCACCUCGUGGACGACCGCAGACAAGGUCGAUGCCGGAGGAGCCGAGUGCGGAGCCCGAGCGAUCCGGAGCGAGUGGCGACGGAGAGCAUAGGGAACAGAUGGCCGCGCUUAUUGGAGUGGUGCGGCAACAAGCGGAGUCUGUUCAACGCCAAGGGGAGCAGAUUCAGUGGCUCCAAGAGGCUUUGGAGCAUCAGCAGGCAGUGGCAGCGGCCCAGGCGGGUAUCGAGCAUGUCGCGUCUCCUGUGGUGGUACCGAGUGUGGAUGAGGGAGCGGCGGCAGCGGCGGCUGUUCCAGUUAUGGUAAUACUGGCCGGAUUGGGAACUUCAAAUCCCGGUAGUGCGGCGGUAGAAGCGGAGCGAGAGCGCAUGUUGGCGGCUCUCAUUCAGUUCAACAAGUUCAACCCACCUAUUUUUGAAGGUGGAUUGGUGGAGCCAGUGGUGGUGGAGUCGUGGAUCGACUCGAUGGAAACGCUCUUCGAGGACCUAAAUACCUCGGAGAAGGACAAAGUGUACCUUGCCACUCAUUGUCUAGAGAAGGCGGCGAUGGUGUGGUGGAAGCAAGUUAAGCGGGAUCGACCUACCGAUCUCCCGCUUAUGCUUUGGGAGGAGUUCAAGAGGGCAGUCUUCGCGAAGUACUUCCCCGACACGGUGAAGCGGAGGUUACAAGAGAAGUUCCGCAAGUUGAGACAGGGUGAUCGAUCGGUGGGGGAAUACGAGCAAGAAUUCUCCCACAUUAUAGACUGUGUUCCAGAUGUUGUUAGAGACGAUCGGGAUCGCGCUGACUGGUUCUUGCGAGGACUCCAGCCCCGGAUCUACGAAACGGUGCAGAUCUUAAAGUUGACGACCUUUGCGGAGAUUUUUGAUAGAGCAUUGUGGGCAGAGCAUGGUAGCGCUCACGUGCGAGAAGAACGAGAAGCUAUUGCCGAGUCUAAGGACAGGGGCAAAAAGCGAGCAGCGGGUGGUGCCGGGGGCUUGCCAAAUGCUAGGAAAUCCCCUCGGUAUCCUUGACAGCAGUCGAAGAACUGGAGACCUCCUCGAUGUGUUAUUUGUGGUGGUGAGCACAAGGUGUCGACUUGCUCGCAGCGCGACGGCAAGUGUUUCAAAUGCGGCCAACCGGGACAUCUUAUCCAGGAGUGCCCGACAUGGACGUCGUCUGCGCCGACGGCGGCUUCAGCACCGUCUACCCCGAGACAGCUUGCGGGGUUGCCACCAGUGAUGUCGGCUCGGCGCGGGUCAUCACCGCGUCAGCCGGAGGGAUAGAGAGCGCCUAGCGGCCGGGUCUUUGUCGCUCAAGUGGAGGAGCAGCAACCUGCAGCACCCGACAACGUCGUGGCAGGUAUAAUUAUGAUUAAAGGCACUAGAGCUAGAGCAGUAUUUGAUACAGGCGCAUCAUAUUCGUUCAUUAGCACAUCAUUUGCUGAAACACAUGGCAUAGAGAUGGUAUACAACGAGGAUUACAGGUGGGUGAACGCCCCAGAACAUUCAUUCAGUGUCCAUAAUGAGUGUUUGGCGUGUCCAGUGCAAAUAGGCGAUUGGAUUAUGCCGAUUGAUCUGCUGGUGCUAGAUCAGAUGUGGGGAUUGACGUUAUCUUGGAGACCAACUAGCUCUCCAAGUGCUAUGUAGUCAUAGAUUGUGAAAGUAAGGUGAUCACUUUUCGUGAGCCUAAUCAAGAAGAGUUGGUCUACCAAGCGUGCAAAAGUAAGCGCUUUGCGGCCACCAUAUCGUCUGUGAGGGCGAAGAGAAUGAUCAAAGGAGGGUGUAAGGCCUAUUUGGCAACCAUGGUAGAUGCUAGAACGGAGUACCCAGAGUUGGGGGAUAUUCGAGUAGCGUGUGAGUACCCGGAUGUGUUUACGGCGGAGUUACCGGGACUGCCACCGGACUGGAAAGUUGAGUUCGUCAUUGACUUGAUUCCCGGGGCGGAACCAGUUUCGAAGGCUCCGUAUAGAAUGGCACCGGUGGAGUUAAAGGAGCUAAAAGGUCAACUACAAGACUUGCUCGAUAAGGGCUUCGUGAGGCCGAGUGUGUCACCGUGGGGAGCUCCGGUGCUAUUUGUGAAGAAAAAGGAUGGCACACUUCGACUCUGCGUAGAUUAUCGCGAGUUGAACAAAGUGACGAUAAAGAACAAGUACCCGUUGCCAAGGAUUGACGAUUUAUUCGAUCAGUUGCAAGGAUCCAAGGUGUAUUCGAAAAUUGAUCUCCAAUCGGGGUAUCAUCAAUUAAAGAUUAGACCGAAGGAUGUGCACAAAACGGCGUACCGUACGCGGUAUGGCCAUUAUGAGUUCACAGUAAUGCCAUUUGGGCUUAUAACGCCCCGGCAGCAUUUAUGGACUUGAUGAAUCGCGUCUUCAAGCCGUUGUUGGACCGAUGCGUCGUGGUGUUCAUAGACGACCUGUUGGUUUACUCAAAGAGUGAAGAGGAGCAUGAAGAGCAUCUGAGAGCUUUGUUGCAAAUACUCAGACAGGAGAAGCUCUAUGUAAAGUUGAAGAAGUGUGACUUUUGGCUGAAGGAGAUCAUAUUCUUGGGCCAUGUGGUGUCGGGUGACGCAGAGUUAGUAGACCCGAAAAGGGUAGAGGUAAUAAAGGAUUGGCCUCGCACGACGAAUGUAGCGGAGGUCCGCAGUUUUCUAGGACAUGCGGGCUACUACCGGCGGUUCGUGGAGGGGUUCGCCAAAAUAACCACUCCACUAACGCGCCUCACGCAUAAAAGAGUAAGGUAUGUGAGGAGCAACGAUUGCGAUCGAAGUUUCGAAGAGUUAAAGAGCAGAUUGACGUCGACCCCGGUGCUUGCCUUGCCGACUCCGGGGGAGACUUUUGUAGUGUAUAGUGAUGCCUCUUAUGUUGGUCUCGGGUGUGUACUAAUACAAAAUGGGCGAGUCAUUGCUUAUGCAUCGCGCCAAUUAAAGAGUUAUGAGAAGAACUACUCGAUUCACGACCUUAAGUUAGCCGCGGUGAUCUUCGCGCUAAAGCUAUGGAGGCAUUACUUGUAUGGUAAGCAUUGUGAGGUAUACACGGAUCAUAAAAGUCUAAAGUACUUGUUCACCCAGAAGGAGUUGAAUAUGCGCCAGCGGCGGUGGUUGGAGUUGUUGAAGGACUACGAUCUCACUAUACUAUACCACCCCGGGAAAGCCACUGUCAUGGCCGAUGCUCUAAGUAGAAAAUUGGCGGAGAACUUAGCGACGGCAAUUACGCCUCAACCGCUGUUGCACAAAGAAAUGCAACGAUUUGGGUUCGAAGUGGUAGCGCCGGGAGUGCCGGCUACACUUGCCGCACUAGUUGUACAAUCGACCCUGUUGGAAAGAAUCAAGGAUCUUCAAGCUUCGGUUCCUUAUCUUCAAAAGGUGCGAGGUGAAGUUGAGAAUGGCAACGCCGAAGAUUUUGGCGUUGGAGCUGAUGGCGCACUUCGGUUUCGAAAUCGUUGGUGCGUGCCCAAAGAUGAUGGGUUGCGAAGAGCGAUUAUGCAAGAUCCAAUCCCCCUAUAGCAUACACCCUGGCGGCACUAAAAUAUAUAAGGACUUAAAAGAGCAUUAUUGGUUGCCGGGUAUGAAGAGAGAUAUUGGGGAGUUCGUGGCGCAAUGUCUAACGUGCCAGCAGGUCAAAGCCGAGCGCCGAUUUUCGGCGGGAAAGCUAUAAAGUCUAUCAAUACUCGUUUGGAAAUGGGAAGAUAUAGCGAUGAACUUUGUUACUGGUUUUCCUCGAUCACAAGGCGGACACAAUGCGAUAUGGGUGAUAGUGGAUCGAUUGACAAAGUCAGCACACUUCUUGCCGAUACAUACUACGUGGUCGGGGGACAAGUUAGCUCAGGUUUACCUCGGCGAGAUUGUGAAACUUCAUGGGGUUCUAGUGUCGAUCAUAUCCGAUCACGACCCGAGAUUCACGUCUCAUUUCUGGAAGAGCUUACAAGACGCGCUAGGCACACGGCUCGAUUUUAGUACAGCGUUCCAUCCUCAGAGUGAUGGACAGUCGGAGCGGACAAUACAAAUUCUCGAGGACUUGCUUCGAGCGUGUAUGCUAGAUUACAAAGGAGGAUGGCAUGAUUUCUUGCCGAUGGCGGAGUUCGCCUAUAAUAAUAGCUACCAAGAAAGCAUAGCGAUGGCGCCUUUUUGAGGCACUAUAUGGACGUAAGUGUCAUUCUCCUAUCCAUUGGAACGACGUGGGCGAGAGAACGGCUCUUGGCCCGAAUGUAGUACGGGAGGCGGAAGAGAAAGUUCGCCUUGCCGGUCAACGGUUGGCGACGGCGCAAUCUCGGCAAAAGAGUUAUGCCGGGUGUAAGAUAUGGAUCCCGAGGAUCUAAAAGGUAAGUAACACCUAGAGGGGGGUGAAUAGGUGUAAUCCGGCAAUCUCGAAAAAAUCUCGAUGCAAAUAAAACACAAUUGCAGAAAUUAAAAUAGCACACCGAGAAUUUAACGUGGGAAAACUCCAAUUCGGAGUGAAAAACCCACGGGACCGAUCACGCAAAGAAAAUCCACUAAGAAAACUUGAGUACAAGUGAUUUCGACCAAAAACACACGACUCAAUUUACCGAUUUCUCGUUGACGGUGAUCUUUGCCGGUCCUCGAUCGAUAGGAAUCCACCAAUCGACCUUGCUGCUACUCCUCGCAGCGUCAACGCCUCAACUCCUCGAAGCGUCCACCGAAUCCUCGGCUUCGCGCGAGAUCCACGCGCCGAACCUCCUUCCGGAGCUUGUAGAAUUGAAGAUUUGCGGUGAUUCAACUUUUGAAAACCAUAAGCUAUGAGGGUUCACCUUUAAUCAAUCAUCUACUUGAUUCUCGUAAGAAGUAUUGAGUAAAAACGAAGAAUCAAGCCGAUGUUGAUUGCUAGAAACUCAUCGUAUAAAUCAAAACAUUGAAACGGGAAGAAAAAUAAGUUUCUAGGGUUUGGAAUUGGUAAAAUAUUCAAAGCCUUAAUUUUAGACGACCCACAUAGCUUAUUUAUAUGUUUAGAAAACUUAGAAGUAGACUAGGAUUGCAAAAAGUCAAUUUCAAAAACCUGUGUCGUCCUCAGAGACCGGUCCUGUCGAGGAGACCGGUCUGUGAGAGACCGGUCUCUCAAGUGAGGAACCGGUCCCUCCCUGCGUGACCAAAAACCCCACGUUCGGGAACCGGUCUCUCAAACCUGAGACCGGUCCCUCGCUGCGCGACAGAACCACCAAGGUUCGGGAACCGGUCUCUCAACACAGGGGACCGGUUGCAUCAAGGUUUACGCAGUGAGGACCUUGGGGGAACCGGUCUCUCCAUUUCAGAGACCGGUCCCAGAACAUAAGAAAGUUCAGUAAAUUUGUUUAAAAACAAUCUAAGCCUUCUGAACUUAUUUUAAUCAUGUAACUUCACCACAAAUGAUCUUUUCUACAUACCUUAGGUGUCGAUCUUUCCGAAUGCGUCUUUGUCCUCUAAUUUGAAUCUUUUCUCAAAAUCUUCUGCGAUCAACUCUUCAAGACUCCAAACAACUUUACGAAAUUCGCCAACCUAUAAAAUCCUUAACAUUGGCCCGACAGCCGGAGGAAAAGAAUUUAGAGUUCGCAGGUUAGAAGACGCGUGUAUUCUUGGAGAGUAUCGUCGAUGGCCGGAGCGAAUCAAAGACAAUUUGGGGUAUGUGGAAGGCAAGCCGCCUCGAUCGUCGCGAACCACUUUGAAGUAUUGGGACGCGGGUGGGGUGCGAGUAAUAUACCGAAAUUAGGAAACCGAUAAUAUCGAACUGUUAGUCAAGUUGGAGCCAAGUACGAGUGAUGGUACACUUCGGAAAUGCUCCGGAAGGGUUGUUAAAGAUCAAAAGAGGGGGAGUAACGGAGGUUUCGAGAGCUAAGGUUGUGAAAUCUGGCAUUUUGCGGUUUUCAGCUCUCGGGGACGGGUCCCUGGGUGGGAGAGACGGAUCCGAACGCCGUAUGAAUGAAGAAUGCCGAAAAUCGGCUAAGUCCCUGAGAACCACUCUCGGGCAACGGUCCCUCCCGAAGAGACCGCGUCAACAGAACGGCGUCCCCUCAAACGGGAGACCGCGUCGCAUAUGCGCGCAGCAGCUCUGGCUGCGCUGGAGAGAGGCUAUCACCCCGGACGGACGCGCAGAGGCCUUCCCGAGGCCCGUGUCCAGACCGCCAUUAUACGCGCGAACGUCACACAUAUAAGGCGUCUAGAGUAAAAGCGAAAGUAAGAGCGAGAAGUAAAAGAAACGAAUGUGCAACAACUAGUGAUAUCAGAGCAGUAUGAUUCUAUCUUCUAUAACAAUAGGAAAAGAGCAUAACUAAACCAUAAAAGUGAAACAUAAGUAGUACAAUAACUGUCUCUAGUACAAAAAUGGUGGUCUCUAUACAUAUACGGGUACAACUCUCAACCUCUCACAAAAAGAAAACACGAGAGGUAGACCACCUAUCGAACGAUCCCUCGGUAAGCGCGCUAGCCCGAGGCGAUACCCUUUCCGCGAUCCCUGGCCUCACCCUGAGUGGAAGGCUCUGAAAAACAUCGAGAAAAAGAGGGCGUGAGAACUAUAAUUUAUAGUUUCCAGUGGGCAAUUACUGACCUCAGCUCCUGCUCCACUAGGCCCCAAAAACAAGGGUAAGUAACGUAAUAGCAAUAAGCAAUAAAAAGGAGCAUGUAAUAAACUGCUGAAAGAGAGAGCAUAAGUAAAAUGCUAUACUACUAUAUCCCUCAUAAGCACGAUGUCAAAAUGUUGUACAUCUAUUCUAUCAUAAGGAAAAGUAACCAAUGGCAAUAGUUUACUGUUACAACCCUUUAUUCAUACAUGAUGCAUAAGCUCUAUCAUGCCAACCAAGCAUACUGUGAUGAAAUAGAUAACUGUCAAGUAUACUACAUGUCUCAACCCUAGGCUAUAUGCACAUCAAUGUAAUCCAACUACGAAACCGGUCUAGUAGUGAUCGUUCAUUAUCAAACCGUGUCGAUUUCCAUUUCCAAUUAGGGACCUACCCAAGGUAGUCCAGCUUGUGCCGCCUAAGUGCCUGUGGUAGCCCAACAUCCCUACUCUUGGAAUGUGUCUGUCCUACUCGACCCCGUAGGCUUCUCAAUACCGCACGAGCGAACAAAAGUCGCGUAGGCUAACUCCGGAGUGCCGGCUUGUGGGGAGCGACCCUCACAAGCAUGUGCGAAAGAGCACAAAUGGCAAACAAGCAAGGUCACUGUCUCAAGUACCCAAUCCUCAUGUCUCUAACAUGGUAUAGUCGCUAGCAUCCCGAAGGUCUAGUUCCAAGUCAUAAUGUGAAGUCCCAACACACACUUGCUUAGUGCCUCUUUAUGACACUUAAGCUCCACAACUAAUCAUGUUCCAAUUAAGACAUUAACAUUAAUGCUCACUAUGCCCCGGGCCCUAAUGCCUCUUCAUGACAUUGGCCCAAUCUCACAUAUCAUUUAAGUCCCUAAGCCUCUCUAGGCUUCCAAAAAUCCCUAAUGUCACAUCUGGUAUAUAGUUUGAAUGCAUGAAAGCAAGGUUCGUUUUCAUAAUAGGGAUUAUAAUUUCAAAUCUCAACUAGAAUGCUAGGCCACACAUGCAUGCUCUCUACUAUAUAGAGGUCCCAAAAUUUACUACACAUAACCUAUGCAUGUUAAGCAUUCUAAAAUUCAUAAUAAAUACAUUUAACAUGAAAAUGCAUGAAUUUCAACUUUACGAAACAUUUAACACCAAAUAUGAGCAUUUCUCAUAUUGUAUGCUAGGCCAAACCCACCGAACCGUCGCGUGCUCCUUCGAUUCGCCGAACGGAGUUGCCCACGAGCCUCAAAAUGCCCUAGAAGUGAUCAGCGAAGAGAUACGAGGGCAUUACGACCAACCGUAAGAUCAAACAUUAACCUAGAAGCAAAAAGGGCCAAAAUUAACCUCAAGAGUAGAAAUCUCUUCUAAAGCUCCAAAAGAGAGCUAGAACCUUUCCAAUCCAAGCCCAAGGAAGGUUCUAAACCAAUCAAUUUAACCCCAAAAGCCCUAGAUUCAAAAAGCCCAAAAUCAAACCCUAACUCUCAUUCUAGGGUUUCAUCACAAGAAAAAUCUCAAAUCCAAAGUCUAGAUGGAGAGAAAGGGCUACCAACCUCAAGGAAGCUUCAAUCCAAGCUCGAAUGGGUGAAAAUCUUCACUCUUGCAAGCUCCAAGUCCAAGCUCCAAGCACCAAGGAAGAAGAGAGGGUGAGGAAGAUGCUCCAAGUCCUCUAAAAGCUCUCAAUCUUCUUCUUCUUCCUUUCCUUCUUCUCCUUCUCCUUCUUCUUCUUCUCCUCUACCAAGGGUGUGGAGAGAGUUGAGAGAAGAGAAAUGAGGAGAAGAGAGGGUGGAGGGGUCAUAUAGACCCUCUAUUGUAACAAAAUCCCAAGAGGCCCCUCAAAAAUCCAAUAUUGCAUCAGCCCGGUCUGGGCAGUUUUCGCCCAGAGGGAUCCGGUCUCUCCCCAGCAGGGACCGGUCUCUCGCUGCGAACCUGAAAAAACCAGCGUUCGGGAACCGGUCUCUCCCUGCGCGGGACCGGUCUCUCAGUGCGUAGACGCGCUCGAGGGACCGGUCUCGCCCGCCAGGGACCGGUUGCCUCAGGGCUGCUGCAACACUGUUCACUGGGGGACCGGUCUCUCCUUUCCAGGGACCGGUCCCCGAGAGUAAAAACUCUCAGGACUUGUCCAAAAUUUCAGUUUUCGAACUUUUUAGGUCGAAAAAUAUUUUACAACCCUCCACCAAGUGUGGAAAAGCUCGAAAUACAUCCAAGUACUCGAACCUCGCAAUUUGCAAAGGCCCAGUGUGUUACAGCCAGGCACAGGUCUCUCCCCGCGCAGACGGCGCUCAGGGACCGUGUCUGGCACUGCACUGGCAUCCCGGCAUAAUUGCCUUCGCCCGGGAUACGAGCAGUCACUGGGGACGUAAGCCGCGCUCCAGAUAAAACUCUCAGCGACUCUGCCAAACCUUCGAGAUCGAACUUUAGGCCGGUAUAACCAAUCGGACGCGCCCUCCACCAAGUGUGGAAAAGUUUGGAUACAAAUUCGAACACACUCGAACCUACAAUUUGCAAAGGUCCAAGUGUGCUACACAGAUAAGCGUCUUCGCUGACUCCGUAGCUGUGAAAAACAAGCUUUCGAGGGACCGGUCCUCAAUUCAGAGACCGGUCCCUCCCUGCGCAAUAAAGAAAAACCACAUACGGGAACCGGUCCUCAAGAUCAGGGAUUGGUCUCCCAAAACUUCUACGCAGAGAAGCUUGAUGGGUCCGGUCCCUCUGAUCAAGGACCGGUCCCUGACCCCUGAGAAUUUUUGAAAACUUUAGUUUUGAAUCUCAAAAAUAAAAACCAAGUCUUCUAAACAUUUUUAACAAAAUCUCACCACAAAUUAUUUAUAAUCAUACCUGAGAUCCCAAGGGUCUUUGAUCACCAAACUCCAAUUCUUUCUUCAACCUUCGUCUUCUAACUCUUCGAGACACCGUCCAAAACUUCACGAAAGUCGCCAACUUAGUAAAAUCUUUAACAAUCUCCCCCUUUGGCGAUUUCGUGACAAAAAAAAUAAAACUAUUACAAAACUCAUUCAAAAAAUAAGAUAAGAAGAUUAUUGCAAUCACCAAACAAUAAUCUUCUGCAUGAUUGAUCCAAUAAAAACAAAAUUACAUUUUUCACAUCCUAAUACAAACUCUAUGACUUAAGACACGCUGUGGAGUCUCGAAGUCUUGAAAUACCCUGCAAAACAAUCUCCACAUACUUCAUCAAGAUUUGCAAUGAAUUCAGUUACAAGUCAAGAGUUCAUGCAUAGAUCAUACUCAAGCAAAGUUUAAUCAAGCGAAAAAAACAAAGUGCAAGUUCAAGUUCAAGAAAAAUACAAAAACACAUCAUAGCAAAGUCAUCAUCCAGCAUCAUCAUCAUCUUCAUCUCCCCCUUUUUGUCAAGAAAACGCCAAAACGACCAAAAUGAGGAACACCGCCAACUUUAAUCCGAAUCAGCACCUGGUGCAGGAAUAUCCGCGCUACAACACCCCAGUUUAUCAAAAAUAGCUUUCAUCAGGCGACGAAGCUUGCUUACUUGCCGAGUAAGGCAUUCCUGUUCUGCAACCAUGCGAGCCUGAUCAUCAGAAAUCCUUCGAAGUUCUCCCGAAAUCCGUUCUUGCUCCAGUAAGAGCCGUUGUUGUUCCCGAUAAAUCGAGGAAACAGACAUUUCUUCUUCAGACACUUCUGCAGAAGGGCGAGAAGAACCAGGAGGUGGAGUGGAACGCUGCUGAGACGAACGUCGCGGAGGAGAACGCUAUGACUGAAGCUGUACCGAAGACUUGAUGAAAGUAGUUUCACUAAUCACGCCCAAACUAUGCUCAUAAGACGAACAUCUUGUGUCAACACCAAACAUCCACAAAAUCCGCAUUAUGAUCAAUGGAUAAGGCAACCUCUCUGAUUGACUUGAAGUCUUGAUGUCUUUAGCCAUACGUCGCCAAACCAAAAAUGGAACAUUAAGAUUGAUCUUCCUAUCACGAACCACAUUCGGCUGACCCACCAAAUACAUAUAAAGCAUGCGAUCCCAACGCACGACCUUCGUGUUAGCCAACGGCAUAAUAUUAUAGCAGACUACAAAAUUCAGAAAACGAUACUCAAUCUUCAAUUCCUUUGACAUCACACAAAUGCUAUUGGGUUCAACAUUGGGCAAACAUACUCCAUUCAUAACCCGACGCCAAUCUUGAACCGCAUCAAAACCAGUAUGCAAAUAUUCGAUUGCAUCAGUCCGAGCUUGCAUACUAAGAACAGAAGCAAUAGUGUCAGGAGUAAUUGUCAACUCGAUGCCACGCACAGAGGUCUUAAAGAUGAACGGUCCACCAUCGGAAUCCUCCAGAUAACCCGCUCUCAUAUAGAAUUUCCGAAUUAAUUCCAAACAAUAUCCAGUUUGUUCGGGAAAGUCGCUAAUUUCGUAGAGACCCCCGUUCUCAAACAAAGCUUGAAGACCAGGCACUCGCUCAAUCAAGUUCUGAACUCCAACGUGGCACUCACCUAUACAAUUUUUCGAAGAGUACAUAGAACGUCUCUUCGGAUCAACGUUACCUUCCUGAGUACUGCGGCGAGGUAAAUCAGUGGUAGGUUCACGAAUUUCAAUACCUCCAGUCCUCUUCUUACUAUGAGAGUACGCCAAUUUUUUCGUUCCUUUCCCUUUGGUUUUGCUCUUUCCUUUCUCCUUUUCUGUAACUACCUUUUCCUUCCCUUUCUUCUUCGUCGACAACACUUCCGGAGAGAGUGCUUCCCAAUCUAUCGACUCAGUUUCCGAUUCUUCAUCAGGAGCAUAUUCACUGCCGAUAUCCUCAACCGAUGGCUCGACAGGUUGUUGAGUCGAAGAACGAUGUCGCUUACUACCACGACCACCACCAGCCAUGAGGAACACAAGUACAAGCAAAAGUGAAUACAUUUUGUUUUCGAAAAGAAAAUCCCUAUUUCAACAAGUUAAAACAAAACACAGAUAUCUUCAGUUUUUUUAGAAAAAAUAGGAAAAUCUUGAGAAAUCUAGGGCCAUAUGAAAGAAAACAAAGAAAUGCAUCAAGAGAAUGAAGUAAUGCAUGAGGAAGUCAAGGAUCACAAGUAAAAAAACAAAAAUCACAGUUAAUAAACAAGAGACCCAUCAAAAAUGUAGGUCAAAUCCCAACCAAAACAUAUUCUCGGAAUAUGUAUGGAAACAAAAACCCUAAAUCAAAAAACUUACCAACAAAGCAAAGAAAAACGGGAAGAAGGAAAGCAAAAACCCUCUGGAGCCCUAGGCCGGUCGUGGGAGGUGUUUUAGAGAAAAUGGUAAAGUAAGAGAGAGAGACCGGACCAACAUUCGUAAAUAGGAUCGGGCGGAGAGACCGGUCCUUCAAGACGGGAGACCGGUCCCCGUACCAAAAAAAAUUUCCCCCUUUUUUUUUUAAAUAAACACGGUGAGUACCCAAUGACAAUUAAUAUAAAUUUUAUAAAUAUAGUAAACAAAGUCAAUCUCAAAAAUAUUCAAAGUGUCAAGAUUUGUUGAAUCGAUCGACGAAUUAAAUGCUAAAUGAGUAUAACGCUAAAUUCCACACAUCAGCCAAGAUCUAAAAAUUAAUCGUAUUGUAUUGUCGUCAUAGUUGCUAAAUAGAGGAAUAAAAAGAUCCCAUAAUCAUGAAAUUAAGAUAAGAUGAUCAAAUUGAGUUAUGCACAAAAUUCGACGAGGGAGUGGCUCUUUGAGCAUCUUUUCACUAUCCACCUUAUAUCACCUAGGAGAUGUAUUGUAAGUAACCCAUGUUUUAUCAUCUCCAAAGCACCUCAAUUAAACCCCUUUUUUUAUAUAUAUCACAGGACAUCCUCAGAUAUAUUAGGCAUCUUUAGCAACUGAGAUACUUUAAACAGACAUGUGGUAGCUGCACACACUUACCGGACGACCGGAGUGGUAGCUCUUUCCUCCAUGUGGUGGUAGUUUUCACACUCCCAUGAGGGAUGUAACUCUUUCCGCAUCUUUUCCAUUUUAAUUUAAUAACAGGAAAGACUCCCCCUAAGUAAGUGCAACCAUCAAGUUGACGAUAUUAUCUCAAGUUCAAAAAUAGGGAAAUCUGUAUUCAUAUCAUAGCUCAUAAGCCAACAAGACAAAGACAAUGUUUAAAGUUCAAAGAAAGAGAUGUUGAAUUUUGCAAAUUAUACUAAAACAGAAUUUGAAUGAAUCAAUCUUUUCAAAAAAAAAAUAACAUAGAGAACAAAAAUGACAUUGACCAAGCUAACCAUAUUAUAAAAUAAUGAAAAUCAAGUCAUGGAUAUCUCAAAUGAUCAUGAAAAACGAUAGAUAUGCAAAAGAGUUUGUGCAAGAUCUAUGGCCCAUAGACUACCUCUAGACUGAAGGAUUCAUACCAAUAGCCUUUCGCAAAUAUAGAAAACGUUUUUGAUCUAAAGGUUUUGUCAAAAUAUCAGCAAGCUGAUUUUCAGUAAAAAUGUAUUCAAGAUGAAGAACAUUUGAUUCGACCAAUUCUCUCAAAAAAUGAUAUCUGAGAUCAAUAUGUUUUGUUCGAGAAUGUAAAACAGGGUUUUUAGAAAUAUUGAUUGCACUUGUGUUGUCACAAAGGAUAGUAAGAGUGGUGGAAGGAAUUCGAUAGUCGCUCAGCAAACUCUUCAUCCACAACAACUGAGUGGAGCAACUACCAGCAGAAAUAUAUUGAGCCUCGGCAGUGGAUAAUGCAAUACAGUUCUGUUUCUUACUGUGCCAAGCCACAAGACAAUGUCCAAGCUAGAAACAACCUCCACUAGUACUUUUCCGAUCAUCUGCAGAACCAGCCCAGUCUACAUCUGAGUAUCCGAUCAGCUCAAGAGAUGUUCCCAUCCGAUACCAGAGACCAUAUGCGGUUGUACCUUUAACGUAUCGAAUAAUCCUUUUGACCGCUUUUAGAUGAAUUUCCUUAGGAUUAGCUUGAUAGCGAGCACAAAUUCCAACACUGAAGGCAAUAGCUGGUCUACUCGCAGUCAAGUACAAUAGGCUCCCAAUCAUGCUUCUGUAUAGUUUCUUAUCCACGCUCGGUCCUUCCGAAUUCAAUCCAAGUCCUUUAUUACUUGUACCCAUUGGAGUGUCAAAAUAUUUUGCUUUGUCCAAUCCAAAUUUAUUAACCAAGUCUUUCGCAUAUUUGGAUUGACACAAAUGUAUUCCAUCUUUAGUUUAUUUGACUUGAAGUCCAAGAAAAUAGUUAAGCUCCUCCAUCAUUGACAUCUCGAAUUCGCUUGUCAUCAACUUUGGAAAAUCAUUGGCAUCCUUAUCUUUAGUUGCUCCAAAAACGAUGUCGUCAACAUAAAUUUGUGCCACAAUGAAAUUAUUUUUCGAGUGUUUUACAAAAAGAGUUCUAUCCGCUCUCCCUCGGUUGUAGCCCUUUUCCAAAAGAUAUUUUGUCAAACGUUCGUACCAUGCCCGCGGAGCCUGUUUAAGUCCAUAAAGUGCCUUUUUCAGUCGAAAAACAUGAUUAGGAAAUCUUGAGUCUAUGAAACCUUUCGGUUGUUCAACAUAAACUUCCUCUUUUAAAAAACCGUUUAGAAAAGCACUUUUAACGUCCAUUUGAAAAAGAGUAAUUUUAAAAUGACAGGCAAUCGCGAACAAAAUACGAAUUGAUUCAAGCCGAGCAACCGGGGCGAAAGUUUCCUCAAAAUCUAUUCCCUCAACUUGUGAGUAGCCCUGAGCAACAAGUCUCGCUUUGUUUCGAACAAUGGUACCAUCCUCAUUUUUCUUAUUCUUUAAAAUCCAUUUGGUACCAAUUAUAUGUUGUUGCUCAGGACGUGGCACUAAUUCCCAGAUAUCAUUACGCGUGAAUUGACCGAGUUCGUCUUGCAUAGCAUUAAUCCAAUAUUCAUCGAGAAGAGCUUCCUCAACAUUCUUAGGCUCAACUAAAGAGACAUAACAAGCAAAUUCAUACUGAAGUUGUCUCCUAGUUUUCACACCAGUAAGAGGGUCUCCAAUAACAUUUGACAAUGGGUGAUCUUUCACAGGCGUAAGUUCAGAAGAGGUAAUAGGGGUUUCAGAUGAAUCAUGUGAUGCAAUAGUAUCAACAGUUUCAGCAGAUUUAUCAGGCACAGAAUUUUCAUCAAUCACAGGCAAGUUAAACGGAGAAUCAUCAUCAUCAUCAUUCAGACAAGCAUUGGAAGAAUCAUUCACAGAAGAUCCUACAGAAGAAGCUUCAUCUACUUUGAUAUUAAUGGAUUCUAUCACCGUCUUAGUAUGUAAAUUGUACGCUCGAUAUGCACGACUCGAAGUAGAAUACCCGAGAAAAAUUCCUUCGUCACUUCGGGAGUCAAAUUUUUUAAGAUUUUCACGAUCCCGAAGGAUAAAACAUUUACUCCCGAAGACACGAAAGUAUUUGAUGUUCAGUUUUCAACCAAUCCACAAUUCAUACGGAGUGUUUAAAGUACCCGGACGUAAAUAAAUGCGGUUAAUCACAUAGACAGCCGUGUUAACUACUUCAGCCCAGAAGUGUAGUGCAACUUUCUUGCUAUGAAGCAUAACACGUGCCAUCUCCUGAACAACCCGGUUUUUACGUUCAACAACUCCGUUCUGUUGUGGUGUAUAGUGAGCAGAGAAUUCAUGUUUGAUGCCUUUUCAAAUACAGAAAUCAACAAAUUUUGAAUUUAUGAAUUCUCCCCCUUGAUCACUUCGAAUGCGUACAAUUUUAUCAUUCUUUUCAUUCAUAAGACGAAGACAGAUUUCAGAAAACGAAUCAAAAGUAUCAGCUUUUUCACAUAAGAAAACACUCCAGACAAAACGAGUAAAAUCAUCAACAAUAAGCAAAAUGUAUUGUUUUCCACCCAAACUUUGAAUCCUAGAAGGUCCCACUAAGUCCAUGUGAAGUAACUCUAAUGGUUUAGAUGUCCCUAAGUGGUUCAAAUUCUUAUGUGUGGCUCUAGUUUGUUUUCCCAGUUGGCAACCCCCACACACAGUGUUCUCCUUGAAGUCUAUCUUAGGUACACCUCUAACCGCCUCCUUCUUAGUUAUCUUAGAUAGUUCCUUAAAGUUCAUGUGACCUAGUCGUUCAUGCCAUAAAGUUUCAGUUUCUAAUGUCGCUAGAUUACAAUGUUCAGUUGAAGAUAUAGGAACUACAUAACAGUUAUUCUCAGAUCUUACACCUUUUAAGAAGAUAUCAUCAUUACGAGUCACAGUGCAUUCUUUGUCAGAAAAUUUCACGGAGUACCCGUCAUCACACAACUGACUUAUGCUCACGAGAUUUGAUUUGAGCCCCUCAACAUAAAAGACAUCAUUCAACGUAGGGCCAUCUGAGAUAGUGACAGUUCCUUUUCCAACAAUUUUUGAUGACCGUCCAUCUCUAAAAACAACAAGUCCACCGGAGAUUUUGUUUAAAGAUGAAAACCAAUUUUUAUCACCGGUCAUAUGACGUGAACAGCCACUAUCCAGAUACCAAGAAGUGUUGUCGUAAGCAUGAAGUGAAGUGUGAAUAACAAGGUAAGGAAAGAGUUCACCUUUGCGCACCCAAACCUUACGUGUUUUGGGUUGCGACGGCCGACUUGAAUGAGACACGCAUUGCUUGUCGACGAUUUGUGUAGUUCUUUUCUUCGAAUAAUUCUUCUUAGGCAUCCACGUUUGUUUUGCCUUUGUCUUUGGAUCUUCCUUCUUCAGUUGUUCCAUUGGUCUCCUAUUCAUGAAUGUUGUAGUAUUUUUCGGCUUUUGUUUACAAAAACUCUUCACAUGACCUACAACACCACAAAGAUGACACGUUUUGUUAGCAAAAGAGUUCUUGGGGGGGAACAAACUUACCAUAGACCUUCGGAAUCGGUUUUGCGGAGUGUUCGUCUACUUUCUUCAUCACUUGAUCGACAUAUGUCCGUUCGUAUCCAAGCCCGAAUUUGUUGGUUUGACCAAGUCCUAACAUCUUAUGAAGUUUGCUUGACCAGGACGAAAACUUGUUCAAAUCCGAUUUGAGUUGAAUGAUAGUCUUGGUAAAUUCCAUGUUGGAUUCUCUUGCUUCCGUGUAUUGCUUGGUAAGAAAAUUAAUGUUUUCAAUCAAAGUUUCCUUUUCCUUCUCAAGUAGUGCACACUUGUCUAGUAGAGUAUUAUAUGACUCGGUCAAAGUGUCCUUUUCUUGCUCUAAACUUUUUGUCAAUGACUCUAAUCUUGUAUUAUCUUGGUCUAGAUCAUACAAUCUUCGUCUCAACUUCUUGUUGUGUUUCGCCACUUUCUUUGAUUCAAUAACAAGUUGAUGAUAUGCGGCAGCCAUAUCCUCUUCUUCCGAUUCUUCAUCCGUUGAGCUUUCCGUAGAAGAUUUUACAUGCAAAGAAGACAUAGAAAUUGAGUCAGUCGAUGCUAAACACAUAAAAGUAGAAUCCUGUGCAAUAAGUGCAGUGGCAUUAACGUCAUCAUCACUUGAGGACGAUUCGUCUGAGAAGGACUCAUCCCAAGUAAUGGCUUGCAUCGCUUUCUUUUUCAAAGACUUUUUGUUAGGACAAUCUGAUGCAAUAUGACCAAAUCCCCUACACUUAUAGCAUUGAAUUUGACCUUCGCUACUUUUCUUUUCUUUUGUAAAAUCUUUUUGAAAGUUUUCUGAUUUUUUAAACUUUGAAGAAGAAGAGGAAGAGGAACUUCCUUUUGAUUUAUUUGGCUUAGAGGAAGUUGGCUUCGAAGAAAACUUCUUUCUAAAGUUUCGACGAAACUUCUUAGUAAACAGUGCCAUUUGCUUAUCAAACUCUUCCAAGGUUACGUCUGAGUCCGAGUCUGAUGAAGAAGAUUCCACAUCGCCUCCUUUUGUUGAUUUUAGCGCCAUACCUGAAGCUUUAGAGGACAACUUGGAAGAAGAGGAAUUAGCAGGAAAAGUCAUUUCAUACGUUUGUAGUGCACCAACUAAUUCAUCUACUUUGAGUUCAUCCGGAUGUUAUACCGUUUCUAUGGCCGCAACCUUAGGACGAAAACGUUCGGGAAGGGUUCUCAAAAUCUUUCGAACAAUUUUAAGUUCAGAAAUCUUUUCGCCCAAAUUUGCACAAGUAUUGACAAUAUCUUGAAGACGAGUGUAAUACUCGGUAAAGCUUUUAUUUUCUUCCAUACGAAUAGAAUCAUAACGACUAGUCAACAUUUGUAAUUUCUGAACCUUUACCAAGCUUGUACCCUCAUGAGUGAUUUGUAAAGUGUCCCAAAUUUCUUUGGCGGUUUCACAUGCCGAUACUCGUGAAAAUUCAGUUUGAUUCAACGCAUUGAACAAAGCAUUGAUACCCUUCCCAAUGAACGAAGAUAGUUCGUUUUCCUCUUUUGUCCACUUAUUUCUAGGUUUAGGGCCGAUAACAUUCUCGACAACUUCAGUAGGAUGUUUCCACCCGAAUUCAAUGGCUUGCCAUACCCGCUCGUCAAUGGCAAUAAGAAACGCCCUCAUACGGACUUUUCAAUAAGCGUAGUUAGUGCCAUCGAAGAGAGGGGGUCGAUUAAUGUUACCGCCCUCGGCCAUAAUUUACAACCUAUACCCGCUCUGGUACCACUUGUAAGAUAUGGAUCCCGAGAAUCUAAAAGGUGAAAACACCUAGGGGGGGUGAAUAGGUGUAAACGGUAAAAAUCACUAAACUCGAUGCGAAUAUAAAGUAAAUACGGAAAAUAAAAUCAGCACACCGAGAAUUAACGCGAGAAAACACCAAAACGGAGAGAAAAACCCACGGGACCGAUCACACAAAGAAAUCCACUAAGAAAACAUGAGUACAAGUGAUUUACCAAAAAUACAAGACUCAAAAUACCGAAUCCUCGUUGUAGAUUAUCUGUAAGGAAGUGAAUUCUUGAAAUGUGAGGAUUGUACUUCAUCCAGGAUCGACUAAUUGUCAAGAGUAUACCCUUUGUGGGAGUUGGGAAUGUCCAAAGCCCAAUAAGUGCCUUGGAGUUGAGUCCGCGAGAGCAAAUGAGGCAAAUUGCAUCAUUGGGCUGAUGUUGCUCUCGGGGACCGGUCCCUGCAGGUGAGAGACCGGUUCCCCUGGUUGGGUGUAGCGGGGUUGCGUGAUGCAACCGGUCCCUGGCAGGGAGGGACCGGUUCCCGAACGUGGUCCCAGCGAGAAAUGCCAAAAAAAAAAACUGGCUAAGUCCUGAAAAUCGAGCUCUCGGGGACCGGUCUCCUAGGUGAGGACCGGUCUCCCGAGGACCGGUCUCCCGGGGAGAGACCGGUUCCCGAACGCGUGCGCCCGAGGGAAGCUCUCGGGAACCGGUCCCAAGUCGGGGAGACCGGUCCCUCCGCGCGAAAACUGCCCAGUGAGGGCAGUGCGCAGGAGUGAAAGUUGAGGGGCUUUUAUGCAAAAUGGCUUUUAUUUGAGUGGGCUGAGCCCUCUCUCUCCCUCACACUCUCUCAUUUCACUCUCUCUCACUCUCUUGCUCUCUUGCUCUCUCUCUCUCUCUCGAGAUAACAAAGAAGGAGAAGAAGAAAGAGAAGAAGAAGAAGGAGGAGAAGAAGAAGAAGAAGGAGGAGAAGAAGAAGGAGGCUAGGAGCAUCUUCCUCUCCCCCUCCUCUUCCCAUUGGUGUAGCUCAAGAGGUAAGCUACAACCCUAGCUUUUAGAACUUAGGAUUUUUGGGUUUUAUGCCUUGGAAUGGGUCAAAUAGACCCUAAGCAAGCUUCUAAAUAGAUCAAUCCCAAGAAUCUAGGGAUUUAUUAGGUGGUUUGCUAUAGGUGCAAAUCUAGGGCUCCAAAAUGGGGUUUUUGUAAAAGUAUGAGAUUGAUCUCAUUUGAAGCCUUGGAAACCCUAUUGAUAGGUCCCAAAACGCGGGGGCGAAGUCGAUUUUGGCAUUCGGCGAACCGACGUGAAGCUUCUCGGCAAAAUCGGGCCGGGCUAGUGUUGAUUCGGGCGAGGAAGGCUAAAACCUUUUCGUAAAGCUCGCCGAGAGAGAUUUCCGAAACCUCUACAUCGAUUAAAGGUGGGGGGUGUCAUCCGAAACUUUCGAACUCCUUUCUAUGUCUUAGAUUGCAUUUAAUCUCAUCUCUUCAUGUUGCAUUGUAGGAUUUCAUAGUAGCUCCAUUCCUUAUGCUUUCUAAUUGAUGACCUAGUGUACUUGGAACGCUUGGUAACUAGAUAGGUGAGGAUUGGGUCAGGAAGGUGGAUCCUAUGAUGCUAAAGAUAGAGAUGAACACCGAUGGGGGUGUUGAUGACAUAGAAAGUAGUGUUAUUGUUAAAGAACAAAUGAGUGGCAUCCAAACAUUGAAUGAUAACAAGUGGCAUUAAUGUAGUGUAAAUAACACUAGAGUUCGAGGGACCUAGGGAUAGGUGGAUCCCUUAGAAAAUGCCUUGUGAACAAUCAAUUUAGAAAACUAAAUAGCAUUGCAUGAAUGUCGGGAACCAAUGAUUCCGCGAUAGUCGUUGACCCUAGUGUAGGGCGUCCUCACUUGGAGAGGAUUCGAUUGGGUAUUGACUCUAGUUGUAGAGUAUCCUCACUUGGAGAGGAUAGAUCUAGCUCACAGUCUGCGUUUAGGAUGCUAUAGCCAUCCAAUCCCCAUAUGGAGGGGAUUGUUAUCGAAUACUCCGGAGUGUCGUGCGACUAGGACCACUUGGAGGUCCGGACCACAUGGAGGUCCGUAGACGGUCCCGGGCUUGGGUGCACUUGGAGCUCCCUCCCCACUUUGGGAUUUGAAGGUGAGUUAUAGGCGAGCCCUAGGGCCUCACCACAGAUUGGGUAAAUGAAAAAGGUUAAAGGUUUGUGAAAUGUCAUUGAACAUUGCUAUUCGAACAUGGAUCGAAAUUGUUAGCAUGGUAGCAAACCUUUAUUAUAUGAUGCAUGCAUUCAUAUUCAUGAUUAUGGGCAUAGUUGCAUAGUUUUCCUACUACCGCAUUUACAGCUUCCAGAUACAUAUCUAUCUAUCUGUUGUUACUUGUGCCCACUUGGACCUAGUGGGGAGAUCGGCAGAGGUCGGCGGCCGAGCCCACUGGGAACUAUGGAAGAUAGUUCUCACCCCACUCUAUUUCCAGUGGUAGGUUCAGGGCUGCAGAGAGAGGACCGCGGCAAGGGCAUCGCGCCCGAUCAGUGAGGCCGUGGUAGUGUAGUAGCUUUCCCUUUUGCAUUAGUUGUAAUACACUGGGUCUUAGCAAAUUGCAAGAUUCGAGUGUUUGAUCUGUGUGUGGAGCCUUUCCACAGUUUUUGGAGGGUCGUUGAUAGUGUUCCGACCCCUGGCGCGCAUCCCGAGGAUGUUGGAGUGAGACUUGGCACCAAAAUCCAAAAAGUUGGAUUUUUGGUCAGCUCUCGGGUAGCCUUCAGCAGGCCGCGUACCGGUACGGGUUCGCUUGCUCUACCGGUACGGGAUUGAUGGCUGUACCGGUACGUGGUUGUGUACCGGUACACAGAGCAUUUCCCAGCGAACCCGAGGCUCGGGUUUGGCAUUUCGUGGGCAGCGUACCGGUACACAAACCCGUGUACCGGUACGCAGUGCAGAUUUUGACUGUUUCGUUGAGGGGUGUUUUUGCAAUUGUUGCAACGCCUAUAUAAGUCACCCCAGCCCUCUUGGCUGCUCUUUUGAGCCCUAGAACAGAGGAGAUAAGGUGAGAACUCCUCCCCUUUGGUCUCUUCUUCAUUUUUGUUGGGAUUUUUGCUAGUUUUGAUCUCUUUUCUCUUCUCCUUCUUGCUUUUGUGGGUUUUCCACCAUUGGAGAAGUGUGAGAUCUUGGUUGGAGCUUGUUUGAGGAUCAACCUUCAACCCUAGAGGACUUUGGAGCUUGGUUUGGAGCUUCUAAGAGGUUAGUAGCUAUUUCUCUCCUCUAGAUUCGGAUUUUGUUGGAUUUUACUAGAUCAAACCCUAGAUUUGGCAUUUUAGGGUUAGAUUUGGGGAUUCUCGUUUUGAGGGCUUUUGUAUCAAAUUGAUGGGUUUAGAACCUUUGUUUAGGUUAGAUUGGAAGGACUCUAGCUCCCAUUUGGAGAUUGUGAGAGCUUCCUUCGCAAUCGGUGAGUUUUCGUCUACCCUAGCCCUAUAUGCUUAAUGAUUGAGCUUAGCGUCGUUUGUUUCGACUAGAUGACACUUGUUCUUGUACCUCUAAGGUACUAGGAGACUAGAGGACACCCUCGUUGGAGCGCACGAGGAGUUUCGUUGUCAUCGGUGGGUUUGGCUUCCUUGGAAUCGGGGGAAAUUCCUCCUAAGUGGUUAUAUGCUUUCAUUCUCUUCGAAUUCAUGCAUAUUCAUGCUUAUUAGCAUUUAUGAGAGUUUUGAACGCUUAGAACUCAUUUGUUGUGCAUCAAGAAAAGUUACUCUAUAUAGUAGGGAGAGAGAGAGAGACAAUGUGCUUUGUUAAUAUGCAUGCGACAAAUAUUCUAUGAGAGGAUAGGAAAUCAAGUUUCAUGCUUCGGUUUUGACUAGAAUUGUAAGUUCUUGAACUUAGUAUCCAUGUUGGGACAAAAUGAGCCAUAGUGUCAUACAGAGGCACUUGGACUAGAGAAUUAUUAAACUGCAACAUAGAGACUUGAGAAUAGGCCACAUUGACAUCAACUAUAUUCCAUAUUUGAGAUAUGAUGAAAUAGUGACUUGGCCACGAGGACAUUUACUAUAUAUACCAUGUUAUUAGGCAUGAGGACUUGGUACUUGCGACUGAUCGUUUGACUACUUGCCAUUGUGCUCAUUCGCACAUGCUUGUGAGGGUCGCUCCCUACAAGCCGGCACUCCGGAGAUAGCCAUCGCGAUUCAUAUUCGCCGUGCGGGAUUGGGCGCCGAAGUGGAUUGCCAUGGGCCAGGCUCAUCCCUAGGCUGGGGGUGAUGACUACCACGGGGCCAUUAGGCUCGGCACCGGCCAGACAGCCUACGGGUGGGUCUCAGGGCCUUAGACAGCCUUCGGGUGGGUCUCUUCAGAUUUGACUUCGAGUAUUCAUGAUGACUUAGAGUAUUACUUGGACAUUGACUAGAAUAGUAAACAUCGGCAUUUUACUAUUUCGCAUUGUGAACAUUAUGAUAGUUGGAGACUAUUACUUCAUGCAUAGUUGCUUUCGUACUCAUGCUAUUUAUGCUAAGUGGAGACUUUAUGCUAUAGUAAGUUAUAUUUUACUUACCGUCUAAUUAUUACAUUGUUAGUCACUGACCUCUUCUUGUAGCUUUUGGGCCUUGUGGCGCAGUUCACUGAAGUCAGUAAUUGCCCACUGGGAACUAUUUUUAAUAGUUCUCACGCCCCUGUUUCUAUGUUUCCUUUUCAGAGCCUUCGGCACCGGCGGAGGCACGGGAUCGCGGCAAGGGUGUCGCGUAGCUAGCCGGGAGAGUUUCUUUUGCGCUAGGUGGUCGCUUUUUCUCCAUUUUAUAUUUUGAGAGAGCGUGAGGCUUUUGGUUUCCAUGUAUAGAAAGACCACCUGUGUACCUACUUUUAGCACUCGUUAUGGGAUCCCUAUUGUACUUACUUUAUGUUUUAUUUAGUGGAUUUACAGUUUUAACUUUAUCCCUUGUUGUAGCAAUUAGACAUUUACUAUGCUCUGAUACUUCUAGAUGUCUUGUAUUAUUGCUUUUAUUAUUGUUGUUUUUAGACGCCUUAUAUGUUGUAGACAUAUGGCGGGUCUGGGCACGCGCCGGGCGGGCUUCCGCUGGGUCCCGGGGCGUGACAGAUUAAUUUGGUAUCAGAGCCUAGGGUUGAGUCUUAGGGGACCUAGUAAACCUUAGGCCGGUUUGGACUAUAGGAAAUAGGCUCGUGAGAGACGAGGUCUAUUCGACUUGUAAGCGAAAGUAUCUAGAUUGGGUAUCUUGAAUAACUCUAGAAAGUGGAGUUAAAUUGAAGUGUAUAACUCCUAACUUCGCGGAGGGUUACGUUGGCGGCCGACAACGUAACAUCGGGAGUUAGUAGUGAAGAACACUUCUUACUUUCGCAUGAUUUGGGGUUUGUCUUUUGAGUGGGGAUGCGAUAGCGUGAGUAUUUCUAACUUGCGCUUUUAUGUUUUGUAGUGACGAUGCCGAUUACUCGCUCCCAAUCUGCCGGGGCGGACAAUGCGGCAAAUUUCGAGGAGGUUGAGACCUCCGCUACCUCCGGAUCCAGCGAGGUCCGUGAGUUGAGGGGCCAGCUUGCAGCCCUCACCGACCUAGUCACUCAGCAGGCGGAGGCGGCUCGACAGCAGACUGAGGCGGCGCGCCGACAGGAGGCGCGGAUGAAGCGCCUGGAGGAUCUACUUCUGCAGCAGGCAGCAGCUUCUAGGGAGACGCAGGGCCCUACACCGCCAGCACCAGUUGUGGAUGUUGCACCGAGAGCGCCGUCCCCCGCGCCCAGUUCUUCGCGUGCGGCGCCUGCGGCCGUACCCCAAGAGGAGGUUUUGGUAGCACCGCCUGUGCAGAGGCCCCCGGUUGGAGCAGCUUUCCCUACCUUGGUUGAGGGGGCGGAGCGAGAUAGACUGAUGGAGCGCCUCAAUGAGUUCAGGAGGUGCAGUCCCCGAGUCUUCGAUGGCGAGAAGGUCGACCACUGGAUCGUGGAGAAGUGGUUGAUGCAUAUGGAGAAGCUCUUUCGCGACACUUUCGUGGAGGAGAGGGACAGAGUUUGGCUCGCCACUCACCACUUGGACGGCGAGGCCUACCGCUGGUGGUUGGACUUUCAGGAGCACCCCAGCACUGACUUGGCAUCUAUCACUUGGACGAGGUUCAAGGAGCUUCUUCUGGCGCACUACUUCCCGACCAGCGUCAAGAGGAAGAUGGAGCAGGAUCUGCGCAGCUUGCGCCAGGGUGACCGGACUGUAGCCGAGUACGAGAGGGAGUUUUCUCGGCUUCUGCAUUGCGUGCCCUUCGUCGUGCGGGACGACGAGGACAAGGCCCGCAUCUUCGAGCGAGGGUUGAGACCGUCUAUCUUUCGGUUCGUGCAAUCCUCUAACCUCCAAACCUACCGGGAGGUGGUGGAUCGCGCGCUCAUUGUGGAGAGCGGCGCGGCAGAGGUCCAGGAGCAGCGAGAUGCUAGGGACAAGGGUAAGGCCAAGAGGCCUGCGGCUGAGGGUGCGAGCCAGACGCACUCUAGGAGGCCGCCGAAGCAUCCGAGGAGCCAGCACCGUGGACGCGGCUCAGCAGCACAGCGAGGAGGAUCCGAUCGGCGCCGGCCUUCCCCGUGUGUGAUCUGCGGUGGUCCCCAUUAUCCACCGCAGUGUCCACAGCGGGCGGGCAGGUGCUUCCAGUGUGGCCAGGAGGGCCACGUGCGUACCGAGUGCCCGAGGGGUUCGUCACCGGCACCGUCGACUGCAUCGGCACCGGCUCUACCAGCCGUCAGCCACGGGACUCCGUCGACACAGUACCAGCCUGGGCGGCCACCCGUCCAGCGCCAGAGCGAGGGAUCUCGACAGGCCCCGAGUGGGCGCAUGUACGCCGCUCAGACCGAGGAGGCGGCAGCAGCCGAGGAUGUGGUUGCAGGUAUCAUUUUACUUGAUGGCAUUAGAGUUCGUGCUUUAUUUGAUACCGGUGCAUCGCAUUCAUUUAUAGAUCGGCUGUUUGCCGAGUUGCAUGGCAUCCCUUUGGUUCCUUUGUUGCAUACGGGACAUGUAGUUGUACCCGACCACAUUUUGGAUAUUAGAGAGUUUAGCCCCAGUUGCCCCGUUCGGGUAGGAGAUUGGAUCAUGCCUAUAGAUUUGCUAGCUUUGCGCAAGCUGGGGGAUUUUGAUGUGGUCUUGGGCAUGGAUUGGUUGACUAAGUAUUAUGCCACGAUUGAUUGUAAGAAUCGCACGGUUACUUUUAGAGAACCGGGGCAGACUGAGGUGGUAUUUAGUGGAUGCCGGAGUUCACUGUUUGCGAUGACGAUCAGCUCGUCUCGAGCUAGGCAGCUAAUCAGCAGAGGUUGUGUAGCCUAUUUGGCUAGUGUCGUGCUGAGGGGCGAUGAUGACACCCCUAGGAUUGAGGAUAUCCCGGUGGUGCGGGAGUUUCAGGAUGUGUUUCCAGCUGAGCUACCGGGUAUGCCUCCUGAUAGGGAGAUUGAGUUUGUGGUAGAUCUCGUCCCUGGGACUACCCCAAUCUCAAAGGCACCCUAUAGGAUGGCACCGGCAGAGCUGAGGGAGCUGAGGGCACAGUUGCAGGAUUUGUUGGACAAAGGCUUCAUUCGACCGAGUGUGUCACCUUGGGGAGCCCCAGUUUUGUUCGUCAAGAAGAAGGACGGAUCACUUCGCCUUUGUGUGGAUUAUCGUGAACUUAAUAAGGUCACGAUCAAGAACAAGUAUCCGUUGCCAAGGAUCGACGACUUGUUUGAUCAGCUUCAGGGAUCAUGUGUGUAUUCCAAGAUCGACUUGGAGUCGGGAUACCACCAGUUGAAGAUUAAGCCCGAGGAUGUAUCGAAGACGGCUUUUAGAACACGGUAUGGACAUUAUGAGUUCACAGUUAUGCCGUUUGGGCUUACUAAUGCCCCGGCAGCUUUUAUGGAUCUGAUGAACCGUGUUUUCAAGCCUUAUCUAGACAGGUUCGUCGUGGUGUUCAUCGACGACAUUUUGGUCUAUUCUCGGAGUGAUGCAGAUCACGAGGAACAUUUGAGGGUUGUACUCCAAGUACUUCGGGAAAAGGAGCUUUAUGCCAAGUUGAAGAAAUGUGAAUUUUGGCUUCGAGAGGUGGCCUUCCUUGGACACUUGAUUUCAGGAUCAGGUAUAGCAGUGGAUCCCAAGAAGAUAGAAGCAAUCAAGGAUUGGCCGAGGCCGACGAGCGUCACGGAGAUACGGAGCUUCCUUGGAUUGGCCGGUUACUACCGGAGAUUUGU